This is a long non-coding RNA of Alligator mississippiensis (American alligator), 431 nucleotides long. RefSeq lists it as uncharacterized. The transcript has 3 exons. The record is from RefSeq and is a predicted model, not a curated record. NCBI's taxonomy places the organism in Eukaryota, Metazoa, Chordata, Crocodylia, Alligatoridae.
UAAGUGAAGAAACUGAGAUGCAGAAAGGUGAAGUGAUCUGGCCAACAUCAGACAGUUGAGGCCUCUAUCUGAGCAAUGACCAGGCCUAAUCUGUCAAAGUUGAUGGUUACUGACAGGAUUAUUUCCUAUGCUGAUAUUGCCUCAGGUGCACCUCAACACAAAGCAAAGAUUGAGAAAUUGAAAAUUCCUGCACAAGACCUGUCAAGCAUAUCCAAAAUAGUUCUGCAUCGUAUGGGUUUUAGGGGGCAUUGUAUGGAUUUUAGUUCCUAGGGCACUGUCCUCUUAAAACCUCUACCAUGCAGGAAGUUUGGAUUUCUUCAUGCUGUCCAUUUAAUGAUUAUAAGCUUGUAGGCUAAGGAUGCCUAUAUCUAGGAAGCAUAUAAAUAAUGAUAUUUGCCAAUUAAACUGAAAGAUUUCCAAACAAAAAGGCA